UUCUGGGACUGCUCAGAGCUCUGCAGGAGAGGCAAUCUGCUGAGACACGAUGUUCUAGUCCACACUGUCUUUUCUUGACAUCAAAUGCUUGCCUGACCUACACUCAUUGCUCCAGUGGGCUUUUGGAGCUCCUACUAGGCCAGCAAGAGGAAUGAGGGCACAUGACCACAGGACCCCAGAGUGCCAUUUUGACCCCCUUUUAAUUCUGAUAGCGCAAAAAACCAGCAUGACGAGGAAGAGCCUGGCAGACGGAUGGCAGCACGUCUCCACCCAGACAGGCCAUUGCCAGAUGCCUUUCCACUUAGAAAGGGACAGAAGGAGGAGCAAGGCCUGACAAGGUGGGCCGGCAUUAGGGAAGCAACAGGCCAGGAAGAGACUACAAAUUGGAUCCCUCCGGCCCGGGCUGCCUGCAGCCGGUUCUGACGCCUGAACUGACUGCCCCAUCAACAGCCAGCACAGGGGAGAGCUGGUGAAAGGUAGAUUUUCUCCAGUUUUUUGGAAGCAGGAAGAUUGUACAAUUAAUGGGCCGGGAGUGGAAGGCAGGACCUCAAACGCACACACAGGCUUUUUCUGGAGGCAAGCUGGACUUAGUUCCCUUUUCGGGCAUAUCCUUGGGGCCUAGAGAAGCAUAGAGCAUGGAGAAGCAAUUCAAUAAAUAUUUGCUGAAUGAAGAAUGAGGUUCCUUGCAUGAGAAGGAAACUUAAAAACUAAAAAAGCAUUGAUCAGCCAUAGGAUAUUGGUGUUAUUUCUGUUGGUGAUAAUCAGUUUCUCCUAGAAGACAAAUAGAAUAACCCCUGGCACAAUUUGCUUGUCAAAGAAUUCACUGCAAUCUUUUUCUUUUCUUCUUGUUCUUUUUUUUUUUUUUUUUUUUUUUAGUCAACUCCAAUGUCAUCAAACUGAGAAGUAAGAUUAGAAUACUUAACAAGUACACCUGGGUGGCUCAGCAGUUGAGCAUCUGCCUUUGGUUCAGGGCAUGAUCCUGGAGUCCUGGGAUCGAGUCCCACACUAGGCUCUGCACGGAGCCUGCUUCUCCCUCUGUCUAUGCCUCUGCCUCUGCCUCUCUCUCUGUGUUUCUCAUGACUAAUCCAAUAAAAUAUUAAAAAAAAAAAAAAGAAGAAGAAUACUUAACUGAUAGACUUCUAGAUUCACACACACUGGCUCUGCCAAUCACAGUGUAUGACCUCAGUGAAAUACCUUAUUCUUUGAAACCUCAGUUUCCACAUCUAUGAGAUGGAGGAUCAUAAUAUCUUAUUGAGUUCUUAUGAGACAACACAACUGAAUGCACAUGGAAUAUUCUAGCAACAUCUAAAUGUAUACUAAAAAAUAAAAUAAAAUAAAAAAAUAAAUGUAUACUAAGCAGCCAAGAAAUGGUUCAUAUCUGCCAAAACACAAGAUCUUGAGGAUACUCAUACUUCGUAUACUGGUACAACAAAACAAACAAACAAAAUCUGCUUCCCAAGACAUGUGAAUUUGGGUUUCAAAGCAACAAGAAAAUGCCAUAACUACCCUUCCACUGGAUGUCUAGUUACAUCCCCACUUCACUUCCCAUCUUCAUGAAUGCACGCCUUUUACUUCCACAUCGUGGGCAUUGCUCAGCACAGCAGAGUAGAGAGAGUGCUGGUUUUCCUUCUUCUCAGACCACCAAGGUUUGAAACUGAGAUCUGCCUAGCUGUAACCUUGAGCAAGGAACUUGGAUACUAUGAUCCUCAGCUUCUUUAUCCAUUCAAUAGAAAUCACAUGCAUCUCUCUCUCUCUCUCUCUCUCUCUUUCCCUCUCUGUCUCUCUUCCUGGAUGAGUCAAAGUGGAACAUAAUAGACAGGCAAACACAGUAUACAUUCCUAAUAAUAGAAGUACCUUCUAUUCCCUGCCCCACUCACUGGGUGUCACCUUAAGGAUUGUUCAGAAAUGCUUUUUCUCAUUUGUUAUUCAAUCAUCCAAUACUGAAUGAGGGCUUACCCCUGUGCCAGAGCCUGGGCUUAGAGGAAACAUGAGUUUAUAAGACAGAUGCAGUUUAUAGUCUGCAGGUUCCCAGGCAGAAGCAACCUCUACUCUGCCCUAGUGCCACAUUCCAAGAGGUCAGUUAGACCUGGGCUCCGUAGGAGCAGAGACCUAUAAUCCUUCCUCUUCUGUCCUAUCAUGGCUCUAAAACUGUAGGCAUUUGAAUUCCUACAGGGAGGAACUUUUGGUCCACUCCUCUUAAUCAUACAAAUGAACAAAGGCAAACUAUCUCCCUAGCUUCUGAGAGUUCAGGGUUCUUUAAAACGAUGAAAUCUGAUUCUAGGCCUUAAAGGCUAAUGAUACAAGAAGCUGGGCUGUAAUUAGACAGGACCCCAGUCUUGGGCAGCAUUAAAGGAACACCAGACUAAAUGUUCAUACUUGGAAAUAGU
Canis lupus familiaris (dog) is the source of this 2387-nucleotide long non-coding RNA. RefSeq lists it as uncharacterized. The record is from RefSeq and is a predicted model, not a curated record. NCBI's taxonomy places the organism in Eukaryota, Metazoa, Chordata, Mammalia, Carnivora, Canidae. The transcript has 3 exons.